Lupinus angustifolius (narrow-leaved blue lupine) is the source of this 90-nucleotide small nucleolar RNA. It matches the Rfam family "Small nucleolar RNA snoR27". NCBI's taxonomy places the organism in Eukaryota, Viridiplantae, Streptophyta, Magnoliopsida, Fabales, Fabaceae. The record is from Rfam.
AUGAGAUCUGUGAUGUUAUUUAAAACUGCGUUAUCUAUCUGAAAAUCCUUUAUUGGAACUGAAGAUAAUAGUAAUAUACUGAGAUCUUGC